Small nuclear RNA from Cavia aperea (Brazilian guinea pig), 106 nucleotides. NCBI's taxonomy places the organism in Eukaryota, Metazoa, Chordata, Mammalia, Rodentia, Caviidae. The record is from Ensembl.
CUGCUCGCUUCGGCAGCACAUAUACAAAGUAGGAACAAUACUGAGAAGAUUAGCAUGGACUCUGUGCAAGGUUGACAUGUAAAUUCCUGAAGCAUUCAUUAUUUAA